Molecule: RNase P RNA, 348 nt
Filed under: Desulfovibrio sp.
Lineage: Bacteria; Pseudomonadati; Thermodesulfobacteriota; Desulfovibrionia; Desulfovibrionales; Desulfovibrionaceae
Also listed under: 2 other names
Description: RNase P RNA component class A
Rfam family: Bacterial RNase P class A
About the family: Ribonuclease P (RNase P) is a ubiquitous endoribonuclease, found in archaea, bacteria and eukarya as well as chloroplasts and mitochondria. Its best characterised activity is the generation of mature 5'-ends of tRNAs by cleaving the 5'-leader elements of precursor-tRNAs.
Source: RNAcentral
UGAGUUGGGCAGACUGUCGCUGCAUAUCAUCGAAUAUGGGGAGGAAAGUCCGAGCUUCACAGGGCAGAGUGCUGGGUAACGCCCAGAAAGAGCGAUCUUUGGCAAGCGCAACAGAAAGUAAACCGCCAGAAAUGGUAAGGGUGAAACGGUGGGGUAAGAGCCCACCAGUUAUUAUGGUGACAUAAUAAGCUAGGCAAGCCCCACUCGAAGCAAGACCAAAUAGGAAAACCGACUUGCCCAGUCCAUGGUUUUCGGGUAGGUUGCUUGAGGGUAAUGGUAACAUUGCUCCUAGAGGAAUGACAGUCACACAUUUUGUGUACAGAACUCGGCUUAUGCCCGACUCAUAGU